GUGCUAAGGUAGCAAAAUAAUUUGUUUUUUAAUUGAAAACCAGAAUGAAAGGUUAAACAAAUAUAUAUUAUUUUUUUUUAUUUAUUAAAAUUUUUAUUUUAUGUAAAAAUACAUAAAUGUGUUAAAGGGACGAUAAGACCCUAAAAGGUUUAUUUAAUAUUAAAUUUUAUUUGUUGUUUAUAAUUAAAAAUAUUAUGAAAAAUUUUAACUGGGGUAGUUGUUUUUAUAACAAAUAUUUUUAAAGACUUUUUGGUGAAAAGGUUCUUUAAUUAAAGAAAAGUUGUUUAAGUUACUUUAGGGUUAACAGCAUAAUAAUUAUGAAGAGUCCUUAUUUAUAUAAUUGAUUGUGACCUCGAUGUUGAAUUAAAUAAUUCUUUAUAGAGCAAUAGCUAUAUUUGAGAGUUUGUUCAACUUUUAAAAUUUUACAUGAUC
Molecule: ribosomal RNA, 432 nt
Filed under: Parorchestia tenuis
Lineage: Eukaryota; Metazoa; Arthropoda; Malacostraca; Amphipoda; Makawidae
Description: partial 16S ribosomal RNA
Source: RNAcentral